GGCUCGGUGGCUUAAUGCUUAAGAGUUAGGCUUUGAGAUCAAGAGGUCCCGGGUUCGAAUCCUGGCCAGGGCUU
Molecule: non-coding RNA, 74 nt
Organism: Rhamnusium bicolor
Lineage: Eukaryota; Metazoa; Arthropoda; Insecta; Coleoptera; Cerambycidae
Source: the annotation of a GenBank genome assembly